Molecule: ribosomal RNA, 292 nt
Filed under: uncultured bacterium
Lineage: Bacteria
Description: partial 16S ribosomal RNA
Rfam family: Bacterial small subunit ribosomal RNA
Source: RNAcentral
GUGUCAGCCGCCGCGGUAAUACAGAGGUCUCAAGCGUUGUUCGGAUUCAUUGGGCGUAAAGGGUGCGUAGGUGGCGCCAUAAGUCAGGUGUGAAAUCUCGGGGCUUAACUCCGAAACUGCAUUUGAUACUGUGGUGCUUGAGGACUGGAGAGGAGACUGGAAUUCACGGUGUAGCAGUGAAAUGCGUAGAUAUCGUGAGGAAGACCAGUGGCGAAGGCGGGUCUCUGGACAGUUCCUGACACUGAGGCACGAAGGCCAGGGGAGCAAACGGGAUUAGAAACCCCGGUAGUCC